Non-coding RNA from Prunus mume (Japanese apricot), 1281 nucleotides. NCBI's taxonomy places the organism in Eukaryota, Viridiplantae, Streptophyta, Magnoliopsida, Rosales, Rosaceae. The record is from RefSeq and is a predicted model, not a curated record.
CAAAAUUAUAAGCGAUCCUGUGACAAUUAAUAAAUUAAUUAAACACUCUUUAAAAAAAAUAAUAAAAUAAUUGAAAAUAUUCAAAAUUAUAAGCGAUCCGAUCGCUUAUCCGAUCUAACAAAACGCAAUAAGAUUGCUUACCAUUGGUGAAUUGCCAGAAAAUUCCAUACUCGUCUUUAUUAACAUUACACACAAGUGAUUCACAAUCCUCGGCCGUCGGUGUAAAUUGCUCAGUGUUCAGAAUCUUCUUAGCCAACUGUUCUGGAUCAGAGCACUUUAGCCUGAGACAUAGCAUCGAUGGCCAUAGGUGUGGCCGGGACGGACAAGUGAUGAUAAGUAGGUUUGAACCUAUCAUUAUCUCAGCCAGCUCUGGAUCAUUGUUUACAAUCAUAGCACCAAAAACUUGCCUGUAGAAGCGUGCAGCACUGGUGACCUCAAUGGAGCCACCACAAGCAGUGCCGUCAGCUUUGUAGUGUUAGCUGUCUUCUCCUCCAUUGAAUAGAAGCCGAGCUAAAAGUGGAAGGGAAAUAUAUGAGAGAGAGAGCUGAUUGGGGAGAGAAAUGAGAGCAGAAUUUCAAAAAUCAAGGUGCGCGGUUUGGGUUUAUAUAACAGAAGGGAAGCGCUUCGAGUUAGUUAUGUGUACGGAUUUCAUUUUGGUUAAUCUUUAAUUCACGUCUGAAACGCCCCACUAGCCGAGUCGACCAACACUUUGGAUCAAAGGGUUUUCCCAUGUGUUGAGUUUGGAGCCUAUGGUUUGCCGAGCCCACAAAUACUUUCGAUCAGUAUGACACAGAAGACUCUUUUAUUGAUGAUGCCGAGUUGGAUGAGUAUUUUAAAGUUGACAAUUCAGCAAUAAAACAUGAUGGAUUCUUUGUUAACAGGGGAAAACUGGAACGCAUGCGAGUUUCCUUCAAUCUUUUACCUGAUUGUAUUUAUGUAUAGUUUUUUUCCUUAAUUGCAUAGUCUAUACUCUAUACAUACAAGACUUUAUUCACUUAAUUUCUUCUUUGAUUUGGUACUGAACAAGGUCAUAUUAUUUCCUUUCAAGUGGCCACCAUGAUUUGUGUAUGGCCUAUGGAAGUCUCGACUUUAACAAGGUUUCUCUUUUGAGUACGUAAAAGUGAUGGUAAAAUAAAACCAUGGGUGUUAUUUGACAGAACAGAUGGAAUGUCAAAUGUUCUCUUCCUUGAUCUACAUGUGAUUACUGCCUAUAGAUAUAUGUGGACUGUAUGUUGUGUGUUCCAGUAGGGAUUUGAAGGCAUAGACUUUCUAGAAUUUUCU